Non-coding RNA from Tachysurus fulvidraco (yellow catfish), 1150 nucleotides. The record is from the annotation of a RefSeq genome assembly. Lineage: Eukaryota; Metazoa; Chordata; Actinopteri; Siluriformes; Bagridae.
UGUUUUGAUAUAAUACAGAUUUGUAGCUUUUUAUAAGUAACUGAAGACAAAUGCAGGCCAUUAAUAAAUGGACAAGGCAACAUGGCACCCCACUGAAAGGACGGAAGACAACUCACUGCAACUGCUUCUUCAGAUGCACAAGAGUAUAUCGAACAUGAAACCUUUGUCAUAUUCACCAUUGUUUUAGCUCCACCAUAGAUGUCUACGCUAUUAUUCCCUGGAAAAAAAGAUGAGCUUGUAUAUUAGGGCCCAGCCUGCUUAAACCAUGUAUGUCUCGUCCUUCUUCCUCCUGAAACCAACAACAAAGUGAAGAUCCCAACAUGUACUGUACUGUAUACUGACCUCACAGAAGUGUUCAGCAAAGUCACUGUACCAAGGUUACCAAAUCAGUGACCCUGGAACUAUACCUUUGAGCUUCUGACAGAGCAUAUUACUACAGUGCUAUAGUACUCUGUCCUCUUCCGUCUAUGGUUUCUGAUGUCAUGAUGCAAAUCCAGGCUGCUGUGUGUCCAUGCAGUAUUUAUGUGCAGCUGAGCUGAGUGGAGCGAUCAAGUCUCAUCAACACUCACCAUGAAGAUCCCACUCUCCUUAUUCCUGCUACUAAUCAGCCUCAUAGGUAUUCAGUCUCAGAAUCUUGAGCCUAUUCCCACUGGUUCAGUGGUGAAAAAACCUGGAGAAACUCUGAGUCUUUCCUGUAAAGGAUCUGGGUUUAACUUUAGUGGCUAUGGCAUGUACUGGAUCAGACAAGAAGUUGGAAAAGCUCUAGAAUGGAUUGGGGUUAUCUGGUCUGAUGCCAGUAAAACAAUAUACGCCAAAGACAUCGAGGGACGUUUGGAAAUUACCAGAGACAACUCCAAAAACAUGGUGUAUCUGCAGCUGACCGGUUUGAAUGCCCAGGAUUCUGCUGUUUAUUACUGUGCUAGAAACCACAGUGGUACAUACAGUUAAUCAAUCAUCCAAAAUCUCAGAUGUGGUCAAAGAGAAAAGUGUAUUCAAUGUAGAGGUUAUUUUCACAAGAUCUGUAGGUGGCGCUACAGCUUUACAAAUAUCCUGUAACAUUGUAGGUUUCAUUAAAGUACAACAUAUUCUUAUAUCCUCAGUCACAACUAGAUACUCCACAAUUUCUAAGUCUUUCUGUGAGACAUUGAAC